This 429-nucleotide ribosomal RNA is filed under the name Chloroflexota bacterium. RNAcentral's name for it is "Chloroflexi bacterium partial 16S ribosomal RNA". It matches the Rfam family "Bacterial small subunit ribosomal RNA", at positions 355 to 776 of the family's 1533-position model. The record is from RNAcentral. Lineage: Bacteria; Bacillati; Chloroflexota.
UGGGGAAUAUUGCACAAUGGGCGCAAGCCUGAUGCAGCCAUGCCGCGUGUAUGAAGAAGGCCUUCGGGUUGUAAAGUACUUUCAGUCGGGAGGAAGGUGUCAAGGUUAAUAACCUUGGCAAUUGACGUUACCGACAGAAGAAGCACCGGCUAACUCCGUGCCAGCAGCCGCGGUAAUACGGAGGGUGCAAGCGUUAAUCGGAAUUACUGGGCGUAAAGCGCACGCAGGCGGUUGAUUGAGUCAGAUGUGAAAUCCCCGGGCUUAACCCGGGAAUUGCAUCUGAUACUGGUCAGCUAGAGUCGUGUAGAGGGGGGUAGAAUUCCAGGUGUAGCGGUGAAAUGCGUAGAGAUCUGGAGGAAUACCGGUGGCGAAGGCGGCCCCCUGGACAAAGACUGACGCUCAGGUGCGAAAGCGUGGGGAGCAAACAGG